Molecule: unclassified non-coding RNA, 147 nt
Filed under: uncultured Helotiales
Lineage: Eukaryota; Fungi; Ascomycota; Leotiomycetes; Helotiales
Description: sequence contains ITS2
Source: RNAcentral
CAACCCUCAAGCUCUGCUUGGUAAUGGGCGCCACCGCUCUGGUGCGCCUCAAAAUCAGUGGCGGCGCCAUCCGGCUUCAAGCGUAGUAAUAUCUCAUCGCUUUGGAGGACCGGUUGGACGCUUGCCAGCAACCCCCAAUAUUUCUAU